Molecule: ribosomal RNA, 492 nt
Filed under: uncultured bacterium
Lineage: Bacteria
Description: partial 16S ribosomal RNA
Rfam family: Bacterial small subunit ribosomal RNA (bases 97-492)
Source: RNAcentral
GGGGGGGGGUGGGGGGGGGGCGGGGGGGGGGGGGGGGGGGGGGUGGGGGGGGGGGGCUUGGGGGGACGGGUGGGGCGUGGUGGAGGGGGGCGGAGGAGCUAGGAGUGGACUGUUGCGUGGGGGCGACCGUGGGGACAGUUACGCGCGUACCGCAGACGACCUACUGGUGACAGCAGCGACUCUCAGGAACCCGUGUGCUUUACGGUUGCAUUGUCGGAGUAGCUAGUUGGUGUGGUAACGGCGCACCAAGGCGACGAUCCGUAGCGGGUCUGAGAGGAUGAUCAGCCACACUGGAACUGAGACACGGUCCAGACUCCUACGGGAGGCAGCAGUGGGGAAUAUUGGACAAUGGGCGCAAGCCUGAUCCAGCCAUACCGCGUGGGUGAAGAAGGCCUUCGGGUUGUAAAGCCCUUUUGUUUGGGAAGAAAAGCAGCAGGUUAAUACCCCGCUGUUCUGACGUUACCCAAAGAAUAAGCACCGGCUAACUUCGUG